UAGCACUCAAGCUUAUUUCAAGGUGGAUAUUGAGUUUAGGUUCAGUUGAAAAUUCAAGAUUGAAAAAUCAACCUGUUACACAGCUUAUUUCAAGGUGGAUAUCGAGUUUAGGUUCAGUUGAAAAUUCAAGAUUGAAAAAUCAACCUGUUACACAGUUUACAGCAAGCUGUAAAAAUUUAGCUUGAAUUAAAAUAAUUUUCCCAAGCUUGAAAUAAACUGUAAUUUCUCUGGGAGGCUGUACAGCAGAUGCGCGCGCAGCAUAGCUUCCAUAGACGUCCACGGGAAGCGCCACAAGCGUUUAUAAGCCUUGCAGUUGCACUGAAUCUGCUAGGUUUAUGGCCAUUUUAUUUUUGUGAUGUGCAUUAAUGAUUGUUGACUGUUGUGAAGUUUGUUUUAUACUGGAAAAUAGUUCGGAAAGUGUGUGGCGUCCCCUGCCUUACUGCUACACCGGGUCUGAAGAAGAUAUAUAGUGUAUUACAGGAUCAUUAUACCAGCAGAAGUCAGCGAUAUUUGAUCCUGCUCUGGUCUGUGUGCUGGGGCCAGAGGGGCUUCAGAAUAAUUAAAUUUUAAAAUAAAACAAUUUUAAACACUUUGAAAAUAAAAUUUUUUAAACAUA
Molecule: long non-coding RNA, 616 nt
Organism: Schistocerca serialis cubense
Lineage: Eukaryota; Metazoa; Arthropoda; Insecta; Orthoptera; Acrididae
Exons: 2
Source: RefSeq, a predicted model, not a curated record